RNAcentral lists this ribosomal RNA (227 nucleotides) under Trichiurus lepturus nanhaiensis. RNAcentral's name for it is "partial 12S ribosomal RNA". The record is from RNAcentral. Lineage: Eukaryota; Metazoa; Chordata; Actinopteri; Scombriformes; Trichiuridae.
CAAAAGUUUGGUCCUGGCUUUUCUGUCAACUCUAGCUAGAUUUACACAUGCAAGUAUCCGCCCUCCUGUGAGAAUGCCCACCCAGUUUUAUGAUCUAAAACAAGGAGCUGGUAUCAGGCACACCCUAUUAGCCCACGACGCCUUGCUAAGCCACACCCCCACGGGAACCCAGCAGUGAUAAACAUUACAGCAAUAAGUGAAAACUUGACUUAGUUUAUAGCUACAGA